AGAGUUUGAUCCUGGCUCAGAAUGAACGCUGGCGGCGUGCUUAACACAUGCAAGUCGUACGAGAACUCUUUAGCUUGCUAAAGAUAGUAAAGUGGCGCACGGGUGAGUAACGCGUGGGUAAUUUACCUCUGAAUUUGGGAUAACUCCGCGAAAGCGGGGCUAAUACCCGGAUAAUAUUUCAGGAUCUUCGGGUUUUGAAAUCAAAAGUGGCCUCUACAUGUAAGCUACUGUUUGGAGAUGAGCCCGCGUACCAUUAGCUUGUUGGUAGGGUAAUGGCCUACCAAGGCUACGAUGGUUAGCUGGUCUGAGAGGAUGAUCAGCCACACUGGAACUGACACACGGUCCAGACUCCUACGGGAGGCAGCAGUGGGGAAUUUUGCGCAAUGGGGGAAACCCUGACGCAGCAACGCCGCGUGAGUGAUGAAGGCCUUCGGGUCGUAAAGCUCUGUCAAGUGGGAAGAAUCUGGGAAAUGCUAAUACCAUUUUUCACUGACGGUACCACUGAAGGAAGCACCGGCUAACUCCGUGCCAGCAGCCGCGGUAAUACGGGGGGUGCAAGCGUUAUUCGGAAUUAUUGGGCGUAAAGGGCGCGUAGGCGGUCUUUUAAGUCAGAUGUGAAAGCCCGGGGCUUAACCCCGGAAGUGCAUUUGAAACUGAAGGACUUGAGUAUGGGAGAGGGAAGUGGAAUUCCUGGUGUAGAGGUGAAAUUCGUAGAUAUCAGGAGGAACCACCGGUGGCGAAGGCGACUUCCUGGACCAAUACUGACGCUGAGGCGCGAAGGCGUGGGGAGCAAACAGGAUUAGAUACCCUGGUAGUCCACGCAGUAAACGAUGAACACUAGGUGUAGCGGGUAUUGACCCCUGCUGUGCCGCAGUUAACGCAUUAAGUGUUCCGCCUGGGGAGUACGACCGCAAGGUUAAAACUCAAAUGAAUUGACG
This 938-nucleotide ribosomal RNA is filed under the name uncultured bacterium. RNAcentral describes it as "bacterial SSU rRNA". It matches the Rfam family "Bacterial small subunit ribosomal RNA", at positions 8 to 915 of the family's 1533-position model. The record is from RNAcentral.